ACAUCAGGAAUGCCUCUCUCCUUGUAACAACUUCUCCUUUGAACCACAUCAUUUGUUUUCCUCUCUUCGUGGGAAUUCCCAGUCUUUGGGCCUGAAUCCCUCUUUAUCUCGCAGGCAGUCAGGAUGCACAUGCAGAUCAGGAACACAUUCUUCACGGUCUAGGGCUGGAAGAAUGCAGGCAUCCCACCUCAGGUGUGGAAUGUGCAACUUCUGCAGAGGAGUUUAGAAAUAGGAAAAACGAGGGCUAUGAGGAAUCUCUGUUGGUGCAAGAGAAAAUUAAAAGAAAACACAACAAAUACCACACGGUUUAUUUAUUCAAUCUAUUCAGUGAUAGAAAGAAAACUCCCCCUGCCCCCAAACUUGGCCAUCGGGAAAGAUGCAGAACACAUCAGGAAUAGUGAUUGUCUUUUAGAGGAUGGAAUGAGAUGACCUCAGGACCACCCACCCUUGUAUUCUCAGAGCAGACGGAGAAAGCAGAUUUUCGAACAGUAACUUGCUGUCUGAUAUUCCUGGCAGAAAUACAAAAACAUACUUCCAUCUUAAAUUUAUGGCACCAUAACGUAUUCCCUCUAAGCUUUCCAGAUCGUUCCCAUUGCCAAAUGUGACCAAAGCAUAAUCACAGCGACUAAACAAAUUAAAUGUUCGGUUAAAGACAAGCCUGAAAAAAAACGAGUAAGGGAAAGUAAAGCCCCCAGAUUGGUAAUAAAUUAAUGCCAUGUCAGUCUUUUUAGUCAGUGAGCUCAGGGCCAGGACUUUCCAGUGCUGCUAUGGUGCCAUGUGAUCAACGUGGGGAGGGUUCCUCUCCUGCGGGUCUGCGGGGUGGGUUGCACUGCGAAGACUAGGGCUCCUCAAGUUCGGCUUUGUUUAAUAUCUGCAGAAACAAUGGCCAUCUUUUAAAAAGUAAUUUUAGAUUCUUCUCACAUCUUGCUUUAAGGUACAUCUUAUUUUUUUGUGACAACAAUAUAAGUAACAAAUAUCUUUUGUAACUUUAGGAUAAAUACAAUUGCAAUAUUUACUGAAUGAAAUCAAAGAUUACGCAUUUUUCGGUGUGUACUAAAUUUCAAAAUUUAAUUGUGUUAAAUAACAUGACAGUUUCUUUUUUGGGGUGGAGGAGCGGAUUAAGCUAACAAAGAUCAAAAAGCAGCAAUUCCAGAAAAGAAUUUAAGCCUCUUUUUUACAUACGUUCAAAAUUUGGAGCUGGGCCGGACCUCAGAAUUUAUAUAUUUCAAUUCUUUUGUUGUAGAAAUCAAGUUGUAGAAAUCAAGACCCUGAGAUAUGAAAUGACUUGCUUAAGUUAAUCAGUCUAGUUUGUUAGCUGAGUCUAAAACUCAGAAACUGGGCUCUUAGAUUUAGCAAUACUUUCUUAUAUAUUAUUUCUGCCUCUUUCUUAUAAUGAAGUAUGAUAAGACUUUAAAACACAAAUGAAAGAGUGCAAGGUAAAUUUUUACCCUUUAGAAAUUUAAAAAGUAAAGGAACAAAACCACAAUAUCAUUUAAAAAUAGAUAUCUAUGUGUCAUAAUAUUAUUUUAGCUUUUAAGAUCAAAAUUUAUUUAGGAGAGAACUCUAUCUAAACGUGCGUCUUGAAUAUAAAAAUAUUGGUCAACAAAUGUCAAGUGCUUGUAUUGUGUAGCUAUCAUUCACUUUAAUAAGAAUGGCUCUGCCUUAUUCGUCAAUUUUUUCUCUUUUUUAUAUUAGAAAUAUAAAAAGAAGCAAGUUAUAGGUCAUUUAAAAAAGACUUGAAAUGCUGUUAGUGUAUUACAAUUGAUUGUCCAACUCUAUAAUUGGUAUUAAAUUGUAGAUUUAAUUAGUUGUCCAAUUCUACAAGUACAUAGGUGUUUUUCCUAGAACUAAAUAUCGUCACUUUAUUAAAUACCUCAAAAAUCAUACUGGGUAUCUGGCAUAUAUGUUAGUAAUCUUAAUGCAUUAGUCUCGGACAAAAUACUAAGCUUAUUCACCCAUGAGAGAGAGAUAGUAAUACUUUCCAUAAACAUCCAUUCAAGGAAAAAUGAAACCACAAAUAGGAACUUAUUGUCAAUUGUAAAGCUAGACAAAUAUGAAAAAGUAUAUAUUUUAUUCCUUAGAUACAAAUACUAGGAACCAAAAUAAAAUGCUGAGUUUUCCUUGUUUUGUUUCAAAAGGCAAAUAAUUAGCAGGAAAUUAGUAUAGCAAAGAAAUAUUCUAAGAAGGUUAACAUACAAGUGUCUCUGGCCUUUCUGAUUGCCUGGGAUCUUGAAAAUAUGAGAAAAAUAUGUUUGGCCAAUGGGUUAUUCUUAUUGUAUGUCCAUGGAAGUUUUCCAUACAUUUGUCAAAGUUUUAAAAAUAAUAAGACUUAAAAUACUUAUUCUGAAUAGACAAAUUUUCACUACAAAUUAUGUUAUAAUUGAAAUAAUAAUUAAUUGUGUUAUAGAAAUUCAUAUCAAGUUAUAAUAAUUUCAGCCUAUCUUUUGUAACUGCAUGUUUCUCCUAUUGCUUUAAAGCUAAUUUAGGCCACAUUAUAUACAAAAUUAAAUCUUACUUUUAUAGCUACACCCUUGGGGUUCAAUGAAAAGGCUUUAUGAGAUAGAAAUUAAAAGUACUGGUUGAAAAUACUAUUACAUUAUACCAGCUAUUAUUAAGGCAAUUUACAAAGUUACUGCUAAAACUAUGCACAUUUUUCAUUGUUAGCCCUCAUAUAUUCAGUAAGCCCAUGGGACUGUUUGGUAUAUAAUUUGGCAAAUAAAAUCAAUUGAAAAGUAAAUAGCAAAUCAAUGGCAUUUAUCACAAAAAGAAAAUUACACCAUAUAACAGCAACAUUUAUUUAACCCAAUACUGUUAUGAAUUAACACGUUUACACUAAGUGAUUCCAGGAAAACAUUUGGUGCUGCAUUCCUCAGUUAUGAAUGAAUAUGGUUUCAUCCUGGCAAUUUUCUCUUUGAAAAUGAGAAAAAUGAUGAAAUUUAUGACAGUAUGCUUUCAAUGAAAUAUCUCUGAUUUUUAAGACUCUCAUAGCUUCUCUAUAACAAUAUGCUGAGAUGUGUACAUCUAUUUCUGUUGUAUGAAAGACUGAUGGACCUCAAAUUUAAAAUAUAUUUCAUAACUUAUAGAGAAUUACUAAAUAUAAAAGUAAGUUUAAGAUAGAUAGUAGACAAACGUAAAUUAUUUCUUCCAAAGACUUGAAAAAAUUAAUAAUAUUUAAAUCACUAUAUAUGCAAGCAUAUGCAAAGGUAUGAUUUUUAUCAUCUUUAACCUUGUAUGUUAAAGUGGUUCACAGUUAUUCCAUAUGACUAUAUAACUCCUUAUGAAAAAAUAUUAAAAACAAAAGAAACUUUGAGAUAUUCCUGAACUUAUUUUUUAUGUACAUCAUGAAAUUUUUGGUGGAACACAGUGCUGUGGUAUAAUGAAAAAGCUUCUCUAUUAAGAGAAUAUUUGCUUCCUGCACAAACACAAAAUGGUGAUUAAUGCUUCCUGUUGAGGGAAAAACAGCUUAAUGUGCUACUUGAUAACAACUGAUAUAUAACACUUCCCUUAAUGUUUAAUUUUUGCAGUAAUAAAAGGUAUUUCCACAUGCCAGUAUACAUUUUUUAUUUCUUCCUCUAUUCACUAUGGCUGAUACUUUCGAAUAGGUUGUGGUAACUACAAUGCAGAUUAAAGUAAUGUUGUCUUCAUACUGUGUCAACCAUUGGGGUCAGGAAGAAGCAGGUGAUAAUUUUAGGAUCUGAAAGAAGUGAUUAGAAAGAGUAGAGUGCAAACAAUGGACCUUUUUCUAAGUCAGGAGAAUCCAACCUUUUUUUUGUAAGAACUAGAUACUUGUCAGGUCAUAGCAGGGGUAACAAAUCCAGAUAUGUACAUGCACCUGUCACUGUGUGAAUUGUGCCAGUAUGGGACCCCAGGGAAUGGUGGGCUUGGGAUGAACUAACCAGCAAGGGCAUGUCUGCUUAGAUGCAAGCAAAUCGAGAAAUUUAAAAGCCACUAUGAGGCCAAAGCAAAGCCUUCUGAAGGCUGAAUUUACCCAAUAGGGUUACCACUUAGCAAUUUCUGAAAAUUUAGCAUUACUCUCUGUAUGUGUGUGUAUGUGUUUUCAGUUUCUAGCCAUUAAGUCCCUAAACAGAUGGAAAGUGGGAAGGCGUACUGCAGCUGGUUGAAACCUUUCCACAUGGGCAAUUCUACUAGAUUUCAGAGAGACUGAUAUGUUACAAAUAGUGUAGAAAUCUACCAUAUAUAACUUGUGGAUACUUGAGCAGAUAUUGGUUGACUGAUCGGUAACUCCUGGUGAGGGCAAAAUAAAGCAGAUGAAUGAUACAUGUUAAAUUAGUAAAUAAUUUAAAAUGUCUGCCUACUUAUUAGGACAAUUCCCAUUUUGUCCAAAACAUGAGGAAAAUGGAUUUGCAAUUGUUUACUUGGAAAAGCUGAAAACUGUUUCUUAACUGAAUUUACAUAUUUAUAACUCCAGCAAAUAAUUAAUGCAACUAAUUUGAUUGCAUGAAAAGUAAUUCAAUUUUAUGAUGGCUACAACAAUUAAAUUUAUCAAGGCCCAUAAAUUAUGAAAAUAGAAAAAAAGCAUGAUAAUAUGUGAAAUUUCAACUACUGAAAAUGUUUCUAUAAAAGAGGAUUUAUUUUUUAAUACAUCCACUCAGAUUAUUUUAUAAUUUUAUAAUAACACUAUUAUUUUUAGUUUAAGAAUUGAAAUUUGGAUUUAACCUUUGGACAGUUCUAUAUAAAGUUGAUAAUAUGUAUUAUUUAUUUAAAAUAUUCUGGCUGUUUCUAUUUAUGGACAUUCAUAUGAGGCCAUUAAUCCAGAGAUUUGUUUGCUCUCAGUAAGUAAGACUGAAGGUUAAAGCUCUAUAUUUAUGGUAAAAAAGGAAGAUAGCCAUAGAAUUAACAUCUAAUUCCCUGAACAAUUACUGUAUCCCUAAACAAUUAGUUCACGUGCUUUUCUGGUGUCUCUAAAUGAAUGAUUUUAAAUAUGACUAAUAAGUAAAUGGGGGGGGAGACUACAUUACUUAGGAAUUUUAUUAGGCUGUCAAUUUAAAUACUCAUUCCUCAGGCAAAGUGCAACUUCACAUUUAAAUAAAUGUAUAUUAAACACUUUAAAUUGAUAGCACCAACUCUUCCCUGGGGUAUGAAUCAUUUAGACUUUUCUAGUACACUGUUGUAAAGCACAACAUUACAUUAGAUUACAUUACAUUAAUCUAGUAUAUUAAUAUCUUUGAUUAUAAAUUCACCAUCGAGAGGUAAAAAUCCAUCUGAUGUGUUUAAUAAAGAGUUCAAACUUCUUUAUGCCAAGUGGCAAAAUUAUUUUUUUCUGUUACAUUCAGAAAAACAAUCAGUUUCAAUAUCAACUGUAUCAAUUAUUUUAAAGCCAAUUAUUAAAAAAACCUCCAAAUUUGCUUUAUUAAAUGCUCUUUAAUUUGUAGAUCAUUAGCCAAUUAAGUUUGAUUAUUUAUUCACAUAAGAAUUCACAAUCGAAAUGCAUGUGAUUUUGUUCCCUAUCCUAAAUAUCAUUAGGAUAUAAACUAUUUCAUCUUUUAACCAUGGCAGAUCAUUUUUGGACACGUCAGAAACUCAAAUUAUGAGAGAAAGUUGAAAUUCGAUAUUCAGUCUGACAUACUAUUCUUUUCUCUUGAAAGCCAAGAUUUAAAAAUUUCAAAUUAAACUGAUUUUUAGUUUCAAAGCUUGUCUAACACUAACAUGUUUUAAAUUGAUAGGAAUCGUACAGCAUUAAACCAUCCCUGGUGUGCAGGAAUACAUUUAAAAAAUUAACAGUGAGGAGUUCCCAUCAUGGCUCAGAGGAAACAUAUCUGACUAGUAUCCAAGAGGAUGCAGGUUCAAUCCCUGGCCUCACUCAGUGGGUUAAGGAUCCCAUGUUGCUGUGAGCUCUGAUGUAGGUCACAGUUGGCAUCUGGUGUUGUUGUGAAUGUGGCAUAGAUCAGCAGCUACAGCUCUGACUUGAUACCUAGCCUGGGAAACUCCAUAUGCUG
This 5957-nucleotide long non-coding RNA is filed under the name Sus scrofa (pig). RNAcentral describes it as "lncRNA (ENSSSCG00000055695.1)". The record is from RNAcentral. Lineage: Eukaryota; Metazoa; Chordata; Mammalia; Artiodactyla; Suidae.